CAGUCGCCACGGUAAGACAGAGGAUGCAAGCGUUAUCCGGAAUGAUUGGGCGUAAAGCGUCUGUAGGUGGCUUCUCAAGUCCGCCGUCAAAUCCCAGGGCUCAACCCUGGACAGGCGGUGGAAACUACCAAGCUAGAGUACGGUAGGGGCAGAGGGAAUUUCCGGUGGAGCGGUGAAACGCGUUGAGAUCGAAAAGAACACCAACGACGAAAGCACUCUGCUGGGUCGACACUGACACUGAGAGACGAAAGCUAGGGGAGCAAAUGGGAUUAGAUACCCCGGUAGUCCCUGUCUCUUAUAC
RNAcentral lists this ribosomal RNA (301 nucleotides) under uncultured bacterium. Its description in RNAcentral is "partial 16S ribosomal RNA". It matches the Rfam family "Bacterial small subunit ribosomal RNA", at positions 509 to 807 of the family's 1533-position model. The record is from RNAcentral.